Molecule: long non-coding RNA, 5990 nt
Filed under: Lupinus angustifolius (narrow-leaved blue lupine)
Lineage: Eukaryota; Viridiplantae; Streptophyta; Magnoliopsida; Fabales; Fabaceae
Description: long non-coding RNA (LANG_LNC002141)
Source: RNAcentral
UUUGAGAUAAUAUAUCAAGAAUAGAGCUUAAAUGCCACUCCUGCAUAAUAUAUAUGCACACUUGAAGGUAAGUUUUCUCAUUCACUUUUUAUUUAUUUAUUUUGCGUGUUUGAUCAUUUUGGCUUAUUAAUAUGUUGUCUUAGUUUAGUUACUUAUCGAUUUUCUUUAAGUUUUAUAAAGUUGUUUCUAUAUAGCUUCUUCAACCUUUGGAGUUGUUUGUAGAUCAAACUUUGCAUCCAUAUUACUUUGUUGAUUAUAUCAAAGUGUUUUCUAUUUAUAUAUGGAGUUCCUUAAAUAUUCCACAACAAAACUCAAAAUCUCACAAAGAUGCAACAACAAAACUCAUAUCCUCUUAUCAAGAGAAUGAUGUGAAGCAAAUAGGAUAUAUAUUAUGAAUAUAAUAUUUAUGUACUGUCAGUGUAAGGAUUUAUAUACAGUCAUUCAACAUCCUUAUGAUUAAAUAUGAAUAGGAGUGAUAGUAUAUGAAAUUUAUACAUUAUAUGUAUUUUUUUGUUCAUAUAUUAUAUGGAAAAAAUGAAUAAAGUCUGUCAAAGCUUUAUAUCUUUUGUAAUUAGUUUUCUUCGUAAUUACCCCUUAACCUUUAUAUAAAUAAAUUGAUUUAUAUAUAAAUUUGAUUCAUAUAUAAAUAUAUUGUUUAAUUAUUAAAGGUCAACAAGAAAAUCAUUGCAAUCACACUUACUACAAUUAUAACAAUGCAAAUUGUAGAUUACUUAACAUUGCUGUCUAGAAGAAAUCACUAUUAAAAUAUAAAUUUGAUUGGAAAACAAUUUUGAUACUGAAAAGUGAUUAAUGGAGAAUAUAUAUAAUAAAAUAAUAAUAAUUUAACAAAAUUGAAGUGAUUAAGUGAGUUUUAAAAAAUUGAUGACAAAAUUUUCUAUUACUAUUAAUUUAACAUUAUUUUUAUUUCCGAACUAAUUUCAACAUCAAUUGAAGUUUAAGACAUAAUUAAAAAAGUAGUUCAUAAUUAGUACUUACAAAAAGCAUAACAUUCAAGAUAUUUGCAUAUAUUUUUCAUAUAAUAUAUAAAGAUGAGCAAUAUUAUUAAUUACCUAAUAAAUGUAUAAUAACUUAAUAUAUGUAUAAUCACUUAAAAAACCAUGUUCCAUAUUCAAUGCUCAGUGCGAUUAUAUAUACGUAAUGAUAACAAAAACGUAUACACUAAUAUCAUAAGAGUUUUUAUUAUAUCAUUCAUCAUUUAUAUUUAAUUAUAAUAGAUUCUUAAUUAUAAGUAAUAUAACUGAAUGAUGAAUGAGUUAUUAUGUACCAUAGUGUAUGGAAUGCACAUGAUUUAUUUAAAUUUCAUUUAUUGAUAACUGUUUAUUUAUUAUAAGUUUAUUAUGUUAUUUAUGUAUGUAAUAAAAUGGUAUAAUUAUGGCAUGGUACAUUAUUUACUGUUAAGUUGAUUAUGUAAACAAAUUAGAAGGAAUGAAACAGAUUGGAUUGUGAAAUUUUCUAUCCUUUCCAUUCUAUUUUUUAAAAUUAUAAUAUAAGUGAAUUUUUCAAAAAAAUGGUACUUAUUUGGAGUUUGUUAUGAAAUGACAUGUAUCUUUCAGAUGAUUAAUAUAAAUUACAGAUUUUACCAUCACAAAUGUAUAAAAUAAAAUAUAUAUGCCAUGUAAAAUAUGUACCGAUAUAUAAAAAUAUGUCAUCUCUGCAAUUUUAAUUACACACUUGAAAGUAAUAUAUUUUUUAAGUUUAAUUAGUUGAAGCCCUUACAUAUGGAAUUUGAUGUUAUUCAUUCAAUCUCGCAUUGUUUAUAGGCUCUUUCAUCAUGGUAGAAAUUAUGUGAGAUUAAUUUAGGGGUGACAAAAUUAUUUAGAAUCCACAAUUCGUCUAUAUCCAAUAGAGUUAAAUUCAUCAAUUAAAGUUAAUGGAUUUAAAUGAAUAUAAUACAAUAUAUAUAACUUUAGUUAUACAUGGAUUUGUAUCUAUCCAUUAUAUCUAGUGAAUAUCUAUGGAUAUUUCUAUUUGGAUGCAUAUUCAAUUCAUCCUACAUACAAACAUUUAAAAAAAACUCAUUACUUUUCAAUUUUAUUCAUUAUCUCAACUAUAUCUCUCACUUUAGCCUACAAUUGAACAAGGAAAUAUUUUCCUAAAGUUCAAAUCUAAAAUAUAUUGAAAGUUAUUACUCUUAAAAUGUUAAAUAAUUGUGUUGUAAAAGAUUUUUCUAUAGUUGUAUGUUAGGAAGCUAGAUAUUCUAAGAGAGAAAAUUAUGUCUAAGGCAAGAUUAAAUUACUGAAUAAACUUCUUCAUAUAUUUUCUGAUAGUCCAGUACAGCUUAUACAAGAAACAACAAAUAAGGUAAAGGAAUCUCAGCCUUACAUGUGGUUGGAUCUUACAAAAAGGGAUAAAACUAGUUGUAAUAGAAAUAUUAGAAUCUACUCAUCAUUAGUCCAUAACAAAGUCCAUUUUUCAAGUAUGGACAUUUUGUUUCUGUUUGGGCCUCUUAUCAUGGGUUCUAACAUUGCCCAUGUCUUCCAAAAAAACUUUGUCCUCAAGGUUUGGAACAGUCGUGGGAGUUUGAGCAUGGCCCAAAUGGUAAUUAGGGGACUACAUUUGAGUUUGACCCUCUAGGCGGGAAAAUGAGUUGGACUUCUCAGGUUUCCCUUUGGGAUGCACACAUGUCACUGACGUGUUGGCAUCCAACGGUGCUAUUAUUUCUUUCCCACGUGAUUUUGCAGUGUGGUACAACUCUUGGGAAUUUGAAAGUACUUUGUGGCAGACAUUGGAGGGUUGAGAUGUGCCAUGGUCCAAAAAUAUCUAAUGAUCCAAAGGUUCAAUUAGUGUAGCAGACUGAGCUUUAAUUAUUUCACUGCUCGAGGAAGGGAUUUCAAACAGUGUGUAUUAUGCACCGUUAGAUAGAGAGGUUUGCCCUUCUUUGGAUCCAAGGGCUCCUAAUGUAACAGAUCUUUUAUUGUUGGCCCCACUUGAGAAGAUGAAAUAUUAGGUGGUGAGUGAAAAGAAACAUCAUUAGUCACAUGGUUCUCUCCAUUCUCUUUUACACAACAUGUUUUGUUCCACAAGGGAACUCUUCACUUUUGCACUCAUUUCAUUUCCCUAGUUGCUUCCCAUUUCUUUUGCAAACCCAUUUUGUUCUUCAAUAAAACUUUUCUUUGGUGCACCAUUUCCAUCUCCUAUUUUUGUUUUAGAGCCUGAGGACUCUAUCUUGUCCUCCUCUAGACCCAAAGUUGUCUUAUUGUUUCUUCCAUCUUCUUCUUCUAAGGAAAUGCAUGUAUCAAUGGGAAGAGGCAUCAUUUAUGAUGUGGGUUCCCCAUAAAACUUAUGAAGUAAAGAAACAUGGAAGAUGGGGUGGAUCCGUGAAGUCGGUGGCAGUGAGAGUUAAUAAACGACCGAACCGAUUUGUCGGAGCACUUGGUAUGCUCCAAAAAAUAUAGGGGACACCUUAUGGCAUAAUCGGCAAGCUAUUGUGGCCUGUCGAUAUGGUUAUAGUUUGAGGAGUACACAUUCUCUGGUGUUGAAGGUGAUAUCCUUUCUCCUUGUUUGAUUUUGUGCUAACAUCCUUUGUUGGGCCCUAAUGAGAUUUUGUUUUAGUGUUGUUAACAACACUGACCGUGUGUGCAAGAUAUCCUGAACCAGUGUGGACAUUCAGUUGUUGUCUAGGAAGUUGGCCAAUGUUGGAGGUGGACGACAUAAAGAGCUUCGAAGGGUGAGAACCCAAUGGACGAGUGCCUUGAUGUAUUAUACCAAUACUCUGCUAAUGAGAUAUAUCGAAACCACUUCAUUGGCUGCAAACCAAUGAAACAUCGACGGUAUGUCUGGAGGCACCUAUUCACGACCUCGGUCUGCCCAUGGAACUAUGGAUGAUAGGCGGAACUGAAAUAGAGAGUCGUUCACAACAACCGAAAAAAUUCUCUCCAUAAAGAGCUCACAAAAAUUCGUUCCCGGUUAGACACUAUGGAUUGGGGAACCCUAUGCAGGCGGAACACCUCGGACAGAAACCGAUGAGCCAAAUAUUCAGUGAUGAACUUUGUGGGUAAGUCGAUGAAGUGUGAAUAUUUUGAAAGACGAUCAACGAUCACCUAUAUCUCUGUGUGCCCUUGGGAUGCAAGUAAGUGUGUAAUAAAAUUCAUUGAAAAAUCUUCCCACAUUUUUUCUGGUAUUUUAAGAGGUUGUAGCAACCCAUUCUGUUUUGAUGAUAAGUACUUGCUAUGUUGACAAGUAAUACAAUGUCUGAUGAAGAGCUUGGUGUCCCUGUACAAGCCCAGCUAGUAGCAAGAGGCGACAACUCUAGCAAUCGUUGGUUUCUGACCGGAAUGACUAGAUUAGGGGGCCGGAUGAUACUCUAUAAGGACGUGCCUUCGAAGAUCUGGUAAGUCAAGUAUGAAUAUGUUGUUGUCAUAAAAUAGUAUCCCAUACGAAAAAUGGAAUUUUUGUUGCAUUCGUGAAUCUGACUCACAUUUUUUUAAAAAUUGUAUCCCUGUCGAGGUCUUGUAAUGGUGGCGAAGCUAGUCCAAUAGAGCUGGAAUUGGGGAAGAUAGUGAUAUCAAAACUGGGUCUUAUCUCAUAUUGAAAUCCAAUAAGUUUUGUACCCCAUUUUUGUUGUUAUGGGGUGUGAAACCCUUGUGUCAUCAAAUGUUUCAAGCUUUGUUGGUCUGUAAGUAGACGUGUCAAAACCGGCUACCCAGACGGGUUCGGGCUAAACUGUGUCGAGCUAAAAAACUCGGAUAUAAUUUAUACAUAUCAAAUUGUAGUCCAAACUCGCCUUAAGUAGGUUGUGGGUUGUGGCGGGCCGGCCCGCAUACCUAAAAAUAUUUUUUAAAAUUUUUUUAACAUAUUUAAUCUAUUUAAUAUAUAUAUAUAUAUAUAUAUAUAUCAUUGGAUAUUAAUGUAUAACUUUUUUAACACAUUUGUUAUUGCAAAUGCAACCAAACUUGUAGAUAUGUUUGAGUCAAUAUGUGAUAUUAAGUCCACGUGUAUGAUUUUUAACAUAACUCUUUUUAUUAAAUCUUUCAUUUCUAUUGGACUCUUACUCUCUCACACAAUAUACUUUGUAACUUCACUUUAAUAUAUAAACCUUUGGAUACUGUAAAAAAUAUUAUCUUUUGUAUGUUCUUUAUCCACACUUUCAUUGUGAACUAUUAUAUUACAUUUGAUUGUGUGAAGUUCUCUAUAGUAAACAAUUAUGUUGAUUUUAGUUUUGUUGUAAAUGUUAUUUUCUUUAUUAUGUUUUUGUUGUAAAAGUUAAAUCUAAUUAAAUACACAAUAACACAAUAUUUAUUAUCUAUUUUUUAUUAUAAGUUGUUUUGUAAAUUUUCAAUUAGUGCUUAUUACCAAGCCAAAGGUCCAAAAAAAGUUAAAACAAAUAAGUAAAAUGGGUAGUCCGAACCCGCCCGGGUAAGCCCAGCCUGAGCCCGAAUUUAAAAUAGCCCGGAUUCUAUAAAAAGUACUUAAUAUGAUACCUGGCCUGACCGAGUCUGCCCUUUUUUACAGCUACAUUUGUAAUUAUAAUGAAUUUUCGCUGCAUUAACUAUUGACGCCAUUUUUUUACUGCCUUUGUCACAGCAAACAUGUCACGGACAUAGGCAGAGGCAUGUUGCAUGCGGGGAACCAUCUUCUUACUAAAGAAAGCAAUUGGGUGCCCAGACUUUGAAAGAACAGCUCCAAUUGCAGAAGCGUCAGUUUCAACCUCAAAAGUAGCUAAGAAGUCUGGUAGAUGUAGGAUAGAUGUUUCAAUCAUUUUAUGUUUUGAUGUUGUAAAGGCCAACUGAGCCUGAUGUGUCCAUGUAAAUUGUUUAUGUUUGAGCAAGUUGGUGAGGGGAGCGGCGAGAGUGGUGUACUGCUUAACAAAUUUUCUGUAAAAACUAGUGAGCCCUAAAAACCCCUAAGAGUCGUGUGCGAACGAGGUUGUGGCCAAUGCACCAUAGCUUGAAUCUUUUCCGAAUCUGGUUGGACUCCCGCCAUAGAUAUGAUAUGCCCAAAAUAAGCAACUGAAUCGACUCCAAACUGAC